Molecule: ribosomal RNA, 253 nt
Filed under: uncultured bacterium
Lineage: Bacteria
Description: partial 16S ribosomal RNA
Rfam family: Bacterial small subunit ribosomal RNA
Source: RNAcentral
UACGUAGGGGGCAAGCGUUGUCCGGAUUUAUUGGGCGUAAAGAGCGUGUACGCGGCCUGAAAGGUCAGCUGUGAAAACUCGAGGCUCAACCUCGAGACGUCGGUUGAAACCACCUGGCUAGAGUCCGGAAGAGGAGUGUGGAAUUCCCGGUGUAGCGGUGGAAUGCGCAGAUAUCAGGAGGAACACCGGUGGCGAAGGCGGGUCUCUGGGCCGAUACUGACACUGAGAAGCGAAAGCGUGGGGAGCAAACAGG